GAUAAAUGUCAAUUAUCAUGUGGUCCUCUUUUUUCAAAAUGACGAUCGAAGAAUAGACGUGUGUCGAUGCAUGUGCGCAGUGUUUUAACGGACAAUGCGAUAGCGGAGGCUUUAAAUGAUUCUGACUUUGACUUUUCGGGAGAUGAUUCAGAUGAAGAUCCGGAGUUAGUGCCGCCAGAGUUUAACCAAAGAGCUAAUGAUCAUCGAACCAGUGAGUCAAAACAAUUCUUUCUCGAUGCAGUCACCACUGCCGCAAGCUAGUUUCCCUUCAGGACAGAUGGGUUCAUCGGUCUUCAAAAUUGGUAAAAUUUUUCUUGGUUCUGAAAAUAUAGCAUUGUUAUCCUCGGAACCUACUGAAGAACUUUCUAGGACUUGUGAAUAAUUUCAAGUAUUUGUGAAAAACACGUUAUUAUAUAAUAAUAAAGUGACCAACAUUUUGA
Long non-coding RNA from Melitaea cinxia (Glanville fritillary), 440 nucleotides. RefSeq lists it as uncharacterized. The record is from RefSeq and is a predicted model, not a curated record. NCBI's taxonomy places the organism in Eukaryota, Metazoa, Arthropoda, Insecta, Lepidoptera, Nymphalidae. The transcript has 3 exons.